AGUGAACGCUGGCGGUAGGCCUAACACAUGCAAGUCGAACGGCAGCACAGUAAGAGCUUGCUCUUACGGGUGGCGAGUGGCGGACGGGUGAGGAAUACAUCGGAAUCUACUUUUUCGUGGGGGAUAACGUAGGGAAACUUACGCUAAUACCGCAUACGACCUACGGGUGAAAGUAGGGGAUCUUCGGACCUUGCGCGAUUGAAUGAGCCGAUGUCGGAUUAGCUAGUUGGCGGGGUAAAGGCCCACCAAGGCGACGAUCCGUAGCUGGUCUGAGAGGAUGAUCAGCCACACUGGAACUGAGACACGGUCCAGACUCCUACGGGAGGCAGCAGUGGGGAAUAUUGGACAAUGGGCGCAAGCCUGAUCCAGCCAUACCGCGUGGGUGAAGAAGGCCUUCGGGUUGUAAAGCCCUUUUGAUGGGAAAGAAAAGCAGCAGGUUAAUACCCCGCUGUUCUGACGGUACCCAAAGAAUAAGCACCGGCUAACUUCGUG
RNAcentral lists this ribosomal RNA (492 nucleotides) under uncultured bacterium. RNAcentral's name for it is "partial 16S ribosomal RNA". It matches the Rfam family "Bacterial small subunit ribosomal RNA", at positions 29 to 507 of the family's 1533-position model. The record is from RNAcentral.